This 63-nucleotide transfer RNA is filed under the name Hydrophilidae sp. BMNH 1274334. RNAcentral describes it as "tRNA-Leu". Lineage: Eukaryota; Metazoa; Arthropoda; Insecta; Coleoptera; Hydrophilidae. The record is from RNAcentral.
UCUAAUGUGGCAGAUUAGUGCGAUGGAUUUAAGCCCCAUGUAUAAAACUUAUUUUCUUUAGAA